GGCUUCCAAUUCCAAUGAGAAUAUCCACAUAGGUUCCCAAUUCACUGAUUUGUCUGCCACGAUAAUGACCACGGCCCUUGGGAAUACAUCCACUAGGACACCUGAUUCAGGAUUUAGGGCACCCCCAGAUGAAGUUAAUACCGCGAACGGAAACAUAGAUGUUAUGGAACUAGUUGCAGAUGAAGCACUGGUAGUGCAGAGGUCCCUGGAGUACAAAGUUAGGAAAAUGGUUCAAGACGAGAUGACUGAAGUUAGGAAGACAAUAGGAGAUCUGGCGAAAGCAAUCAAUAAUUUGGCAAAAGGUACGAAUGCGGGUACGCCAGCUGCAAUAGGUAACAAUACUGGAAACGGAAAUAACGUACCUGGAAAUGUAAAUAAUGAAAACAGAGCAAAUCCAAGAAAUGAAAACGCAUAUUUACCUCUUCCAAACCAAUUCGUGCCUGAAAAUUCAAUUCCCCCAAUGAAUUUUACCACACAACAUGAUAACAGAAUAUCAUCUAACGGAAAUACUUCCUUUGAUUUCCAUCAAAUUUGAAUAGACAAAUUUGGAAUAGUGUUUGAUAAUAAGACCAUGGGUAUAGAUGAUUUUAUCUUCCGGUUAGAACAUCUGUGAACCCAUUACAACAUUCCAGAUAGGGAAAUGUUGUAAACAAUAUUUAAGAUAUCCGUUCACCUACUGACAUAUUCCUACGAAUCUGUCAUUGGCCUAUCUUGGUAGCAUUUUUAAUAAACAAUAUUUAAGAUAUACGUUCACCUACUGACAUAUUCCUGCGAAUCUGUCAUUGACCUAUCUUGGUAGCAUUUUUAAUACUUCACACCUCUAGUUAUAUUCCAGAGCGGCUAUUAAAAUGUUUCCCUGGGCUGCAAACACUAUACUUAAGGAUUACAAAUAUAUAAAAAAAUGUUCUAAAUAAGUGUAUUAUCAGUUACGAUAAGGUAUUUUUUGAACUCUUAUCAUUCAUGUCUCGUAUUCAAAACUAACAAAUAAACAAUAUUUAAGAUAUCCGUUCACCUACUGACAUAUUCCUACGAAUCUGUCAUUGACCUAUCUUGGUAGCAUUUUUAAUACUUCACACCUCUAGUUAUAUUCCAGAGCGGCUAUUAAAAUGUUUCCCUGGGUUGAAAACAGUACACUUAAGGAUUACAAAUAUAUAAAAAAAUGUUCUAAAUAAGUGUAUUAUCAGUUAUGAUAAGCUCCGAAAGUGUUUACCUACAUGACCAGUACUACUGACUUCCGAAUUUCUAAUCCAGAACGGCUACAGAUCUUAACAAGUAAUCAGAUUUGGAACUAAAAGUUUGUUUUGGGCUAUGGACUUUUACACUAAUGGUCUAUUAAAUUGUGUGUAGGUUUUCAUACACAAUAUUACAUGACAAGUUGGCGUUUUACGCCUUCUUUAUCCUAUUUGUUUGGGCGCCAUAUUGUUAGCUGACCUUUGGCAGCGCUUGGUUAAAUCCUGGCCGACUAACUUUUCGCAUGACACACUCAGAGGUGGUCUCUCCCUUCAACCUAGCCUCAGGGCAGUACCAAUUAAUGAUGAAGUCACUAACUUUACAGAAACUAACACGAUUACACUACAUUGAGACAUGACCACAACAGGAGAAUUCCCCAUUACAAAUAAAUUUCAAUACAAAAAGGAAGCAUAAAUUCAAUCAUCCGUUUUACUACUACGUACCCUACUGUAGCAAUCAUUCACAAUAGUCUGCAACAAGUAAAACAUAUACGAACGUUUACCAACACUGGAUAACAUAUGUUUCAUGUUUUACAAUCAAAACAAAAAAAGGGAAAAGUAAAAACAGCGGGGCUUAACUGCGAUCCGUAUGUCCCACUAAGGUCCCCCACGCAAAAUUUUUUUCACAUACACCCUACAGUCGGCACCCCCAGAGUCCCACCGCAACAUAUGUUACCAUAGAUUGAUUAAACUUCGAAUUGUUAUCUUCAGCUCCAAUUUCUGAACUAUUUUAAAAUUCAGUUUAAUAUAAUUCGCUUUAUUUUUAAUAUUUUUUUUUAAUUUUCGCGUCUAAAUCUAUGGCAGAAAUAAUUUAUAUAUAACGCGAAAUAAUUUGUAUAUAACAACGAAAAAUUCUAUUUUGAAACACAGUAAUACCCCGUUCAUUCGAUGCAAUUGUAAAUUAUUCACACUCUCAUUCGUCAUUCAAAUCCUAAUUACAAACUGAAUAACAUGAUUGGACAUACAAAAUUUCAACUGCGAAUUACACAAGAUGUACGUAAAUCAAGUUGAAUUAAUUACGAAUGAAUGAGUGUCAUCUCUAAAUUUUUUUGGUGUAUUUAUCAUAAUCGGCAGUUCGUUUUCAUUGGUUGGAGACAAAUUAAAAAUAAUAUUACAAAAAAUAUUACAAUGUUAAACUUUUUAAUAUAAAAAUUAUAUUAUAAUCAAAGAACUCAUCCAUAUUAAUAGAUUGGGUUUUAAAUCAAAAAAAUCUGAUAUAAACUCUCAAAGAUAUAAGCUUUCAAAAUUGUGUACCUUUUUAUUUUUUGUAGUUUUCGAACAAUUUUUAAGUUAGCAAACAGAGCCAUGAAAAACUUGAAGUAAACCGAAGAGCUUUGCCUAUGUAAAAUUUUAUAAAUUUUAAGAAAAAACUUUAUCUGAACAAUUACUUUUAGCAAAAUAAAGUAAAUUAUUUGUUGUAUUUUUUUAAAAAUCGUUAUAAUAAUU
Molecule: long non-coding RNA, 2675 nt
Filed under: Lucilia cuprina (Australian sheep blowfly)
Lineage: Eukaryota; Metazoa; Arthropoda; Insecta; Diptera; Calliphoridae
Description: uncharacterized LOC124419433, transcript variant X2
Source: RNAcentral